This is a ribosomal RNA of Synergistes jonesii, 623 nucleotides long. It matches the Rfam family "Bacterial small subunit ribosomal RNA", at positions 1 to 647 of the family's 1533-position model. NCBI's taxonomy places the organism in Bacteria, Thermotogati, Synergistota, Synergistia, Synergistales, Synergistaceae. The record is from Rfam.
CAAACGGAGAGUUUGAUCCUGGCUCAGGACGAACGCUGGCGGCGCGCCUAACACAUGCAAGUCGAACGGGGAUCAUGUAGAAGCUUGCUUAGACAUGAUUUUAGUGGCGGACGGGUGAGUAACGCGUGAGGACUUGUCAGUUACAGGGGGACAACGGAUGGAAACGUCAGCUAAUACCCCAUAAGCCGAGAGGUAAAAGGAGCGAUCCGGUAACAGAGAGACUCGCGUUCCAUCAGCUAGUUGGAGGGGUAAAGGCCCUCCAAGGCGAAGACGGAUAGCCGGACUGAGAGGUUGACCGGCCACAUUGGAACUGAGAGACGGUCCAGACUCCUACGGGAGGCAGCAGUGGGGAAUAUUGGGCAAUGGGGGAAACCCUGACCCAGCGACGCCGCGUGGGUGAAGAAAUCCUUCGGGAUGUAAAGCCCUGUUUUGCGGGAAGAAGCGAGUGACGGUACCGCAAGAGAAAGCCACGGCAAACUACGUGCCAGCAGCCGCGGUAAUACGUAGGUGGCAAGCGUUGUCCGGAAUUACUGGGCGUGAAGCGCACGCAGGCUGAUAAUCAAGUCGGCUGUAAAAGCAGAGGCUCAACCUUUGCAUCACAGUUGAAACUGAUAAUCUAGAGU